Molecule: long non-coding RNA, 631 nt
Filed under: Malus domestica (apple)
Lineage: Eukaryota; Viridiplantae; Streptophyta; Magnoliopsida; Rosales; Rosaceae
Description: long non-coding RNA (MDOM_LNC008109)
Source: RNAcentral
UCCACUAUCCCAUUUUUUUUUCUGUACGUUCUGUCCCCCACCUCAAUCAGAGAAGCAUCUUUCUCUCUUUCUCUUUUCCCUCUCCCACGCCAUAUUUCUUAUUCUUCUUUCUCUCUAUCCCGUGAGCUCUCUCUCCCUCUGCAACUCCAUGAGCAAGCUCCAAAACUCAUAGAUCGAACAAAACAACUACAUCAUCGUGUUCAUCUCGUCAAUACGAGUUCAUCCAUACUAGUUUCAGGUAAGAUUUCCACUGUUUUCACGUCGAACCACUUACCUCCGUUUGAGUCACUGUUCAUGCAAUAAUUAUUGGUUGAUUUUUAGGAGUUUUUAAGCUCAUAGUGAGCUUAAGGAGGUUCUUAGGAAGCUCGGAGUGCUUCGUUGGAAGUUUUGGACGCAAAAACAGAGAUCGGAAAGUUCAAAGUUUGGCCGGAACUUUCGAGGCGUUUUCCGGCCAAACCACGGAGAUUUAGAUGUUGUGUGAGGUAUCAUUCUCUUCGUCUCUUCUAGAACUACAACUUUUGUUUUUGUUUCACCCAAUUUAGUUGAGUAUUAAAGAAGUUAUACUCAUUUGAAUCUUACCCAGUUUCCGGCGAGUCCGACGGCUUUCGAGGCUUUUUCCGGUGAAUUCCCG